Papaver somniferum (opium poppy) is the source of this 1656-nucleotide long non-coding RNA. RefSeq lists it as uncharacterized. The transcript has 2 exons. The record is from RefSeq and is a predicted model, not a curated record. NCBI's taxonomy places the organism in Eukaryota, Viridiplantae, Streptophyta, Magnoliopsida, Ranunculales, Papaveraceae.
UGAAGACCGAAGACGAAGAUGAAGACAAGAAUUGAAGACCGAAGACGUUUUUAUGGAUGCUGUGAGAGUGGUACUAACUUCACGUCGAAAGGAUAGCGAGGUGCAAUGGAGUCCUUGGGAGCAAAAGAAGGAGGAAACGUUCAUUCGGAGCGUAGAAAAAGCAAAAUCAAAACACUGGCGAGUUAUACUUGGAGCGGGCUAAGGUUGAGCAAGGAAGAGUUAGGCGGCCAGUUCUGCGAAACUGACAAGCCAAAGAUGAACUAGGUGUCCCUUAUCGACUGCACCCGAGUGUCUAUAUCAAAUUCUACUCCUACACAUGACCUAAGAUUCAAAGGAGUCAUUUUUCUUAUCAUUAUACCUCCUGCUGUCUGAAAGUUAGAGAAGUUACGGCUGCCACUGCAAUGCCGAGAGAAAUUUGAGAAGAAUUGUGAACUCUGAUGAUUGAAGAGAUCCAUGCCGAGAAAUUAGUAAAGAAGGAGAAAAUGAAUUUGUUCGAUCCAUGAGUGUUAGUGAAACGAAGUUAAUGGAGGCUCAAAUGAGAUGCUGUUAAUGGGGUUUAUGGAUUUGUUCUCAUGGGACAAGAAAAUGGUGGUUAUGAAACAAGUCGUUGCUGCUGGUGGAAGAUCGAUUGAUACAUGAAGUUGUUGUUAAAGAAUUGAGGGUUUUAAUCUGUAUCUGAAAUUGAAGACAGGGGAAACCAGUUAGGGUUAGAGGAUCGAUGGCUCUGUUGUUGGUGUUUGCUCAGAAGACGAUGGAUCUGUAUGGAUCGAUUGAUCAAGAAGAAGGAAUUGCUUAUUAAUUUGAGAAUCUCAGAAGUUGGGGUUGUGGUGAUUAACAUGAGAUUUAUGGGGUUUUGAGUAUUGUUUCCCUAGAAUCAAGAACUUAGAGGAGAAUAUGAGAUGAAUAAUGACACAUAUAUGGCCUGUGGCAGUGGUGUUGAGUGAUUGCUGCUGUUUGAGUUCUUUACAGGUGGUCAUGAAUGGAGAUUGAGAAUGAGCAGAAGCUGGAUACUGAUGUUUGUGACACAGAGAAGGGGAUCUGAGAUUGAAGCUCAGAUGGAGGAAAUUGGUGAAGGUUGGAGCUGUUAGUGAUGAAUCUGCUCAUGGGUUAAGAAGAACUGAUGAAGAUGAAUGGUUCUGACUUUAGAUGAAUGUUAGGGAAGGUAUUCAAUUGCAGUUACAGUUGAUGCAAGAAGAUGCAGGUUAUGAAGUUGGCUUUGGUGGUGCUUGUAAUGAUGCAGCUAUCCUGAAUUGCAGAGUUGGUUGUGCAACUGUAAUGGUGUUGUUGCAGGGUCCUAUGGACUUGAACUAAAGAAAUAAAGUUGCAAUUGCAGGGGAGAGUUUGUGUUUUAGAUGAAAGUGAAAGCAUGAAUUACAUUAGUUGUUGCAGUUGAAACUGUUGCUGCAAUGGUUUGAUAAUGAGAAUGAAGGGAAUAUGGUUUGAUGGCAGUUGCUAUGAGCUAAUGGAUGUGUAGCUGAAAUGGGUUUAACUGAGUCUUGGCUGAUGUUGGAUUAGAAGCUGGUGAUAGACACAUUUAUGUGUCUAAUUUGUCCUCAAUGUUUCGUAUUGUUGUACUCGUUUUCGUACUUAUUAUGGUGUUUUAUGUAUUUUUAGGUAUUUUUGGAAAAUAAAAAGAAGUGAUCAGGAUUCUUUCGA